GGGGGCGUAAAGGUUUCGACAGGGAUUUUGAACUAUGGGAAGCGAGCAGCGGUGCGGAACCGCUUUAAAAUCCGCAAUAAAAAUUAACUAACAACAAUAAAGUUGCUUUAGCAGCCUAAUUACAGGCUGCUCAUCCGACCUCUGAGCACCACGGCAGAGCAAGGGUGUCAUUUUAGUGGUGAACGUGAAUACGGAAACGUCCCUUUUCGUAUCACGCAGUAGGGACUACCAAGCACCGAAGUUUGACAUUUAACGUCGGUGUGAGGGAAAGUAAAUAAAUGUCUGCGCUCGGAGAUGCCUAUAGGAAUAGAUUUUUGGACGCGGGUUCGAUUCCCGCCGCCUCCACCA
This 348-nucleotide transfer-messenger RNA is filed under the name Clostridia bacterium. It matches the Rfam family "transfer-messenger RNA". From Rfam's summary of the family: Bacterial tmRNA, also known as 10Sa RNA or SsrA, is named for its dual tRNA and mRNA-like properties. Its role is to liberate the mRNA from a stalled ribosome. Lineage: Bacteria; Bacillati; Bacillota; Clostridia. The record is from RNAcentral. RNAcentral also lists the same sequence under 1 other name.